Molecule: long non-coding RNA, 2144 nt
Organism: Trichechus manatus latirostris (Florida manatee)
Lineage: Eukaryota; Metazoa; Chordata; Mammalia; Sirenia; Trichechidae
Exons: 4
Source: RefSeq, a predicted model, not a curated record
GCACUCUACUCACUUUCUCUGCCUCAUGGCUUUGCUUACUCAUGCCUUCUGUUUCCUGCCUUCCUUUUCCCACUUCUGCAUUUACCCAAUGCUGACCAUCCUUGGAUGUUUCACUCUCAAACCCUGUCAGAGAAAGAAAGGCCGCUCCUGUUGGGCAGAGCUCUUGUGCCAAGCUUGAUCAUACGCCAUUAGUCUUUAGGUCACGUCUAUCCCUGUCUAAUUAGCACAGUUACAUGGCAAAAAAAAAACAUGGGAACACACCUAUAAAAAACAAAGAACUUCUCUGAUGCUUUACAGAAGCCAGCAAUGAAACCGGCUAGGUGCCUUAUAAGGCCUGUGUAUGCAGGCAGUGCCUGGGUUAUGACCGAGAUGGAUUCCUGAGUGAGUCUUUAAGAAUUUGUAGGUUCACAGAAGCUCUUGCUUUAAGAGAAGAUUCUAUGAGUUGGACUCAACUCGAUGGCAACAGUUUCUGAGGGUCAGGAUUUUGGAAGUGGCUUAAAAGAUGGUUCUGAAUCAGGUUUGUUAUGAGAUUGCGGUCAUCGGAAGACUUGACCGGGGCUGGAGGAUUUGCUUCCAAGGAGGCUCUUCUUUAGCUUACUUGAGUGUCCUCACAGCAUGACAGCUGGCUCUCUCCUGUGUAAGCAAUCCAAGAGAACAAUAUGGAAGCCUCAAUGUUUUUUAUGACCUACCUUUGGUAAUCACACAUCAUCACCUCCAUUAUACAUUUUUAUUCAAUCUAUGAGGAUACGACACAACGGAGUAAAUGCCAGAGCUCUAAAACAGCAGAUUAAGCAAGCAGAAAUGAAGGGAGAUAGAUGCCAGGCCACAUGAAGACAGCCAAGGAACCGAGGAACAGAAGCUGAAGAGAGACAAGGACCGUUCCCGAGAACAAAGAGAGAGAAUUCUCCUAGAGCCAGCGCCCUGAAUUCGGACUUCUAGCCUCCUAAAUGUGAGAAAAUAAAUUUCUGCUUGUUAAAGCUACCCACUUGGGAUAUUUUUGUUAUAACUGCACUAGAUAACUAAGACAUACCUUUACCUUCAAAGAGUAACUAAAUAUCUUCCCUUAAUUCCAAUUUUAAAAUUCCUGGUGAAAAUUUCUCAUUAGACCCACUCGGGCCAUGUGAUGGCCCCAAUGGCCAUUCGUUUGAGUACUAGAGUUGGCUCUUCCACCAGAACCAUCGGGUUUGAGCGCAAGGUAGACCAGUUUCCAAAGAUAAGUGGAUGCUAUUCCCAGAAGGAAGAAGAAAUUUGGGAGAGUGGGAACAAUAGUGGUCUACCAAAAUUAAAUAUCUUAAGUUACCUAAAAACCAACCACUUCACAUUUUUAAAAAACUAAACCACCCUGAGUGAGCAACAGCUACCUUUCCUCCUACCGCCAUUUUCUUCUACUCAACUUUACCAUUAAUACACUUUUUUUUUCAGCCCUUAAGGCAAAUAUUUAUAGAACAAUAAAGCCUUUUUAAUCCUUUCUCAAAGGUUUAUUUUAAGAUUAUGCAUUAUUUUAAUUUGAUAUCAAUGUAAUUUGCAAAUGGUUCCAAUGAACAGUGCCAAUGUUGAAUAAUGUGAAGUUCAUAGAAGACAAUUACAGUUGUAGGGUAGACAUAAGGAAUAUUCAAAACCUGAAAUGAGGUUUGACAAAAAUGCUAAGGACAUCAAAAUAAGGUCUUUAUCUAUCUACCUGUUGCCAGCAAGUUGAUUCCAACUCAUAGUGACCCUAUAGACCAGAGUAAAACUGCCCUAUAUGGUAGUAAUCUUUAUGGAAGCAGACUGCCACAUCUUUCUCCCAUGGAGCAGCUGGUGGGUUUGAACCACUGACCUUUCAGUUAGCAGACCAACGCUUAACCACUGCACCAGUAGGGCUCCUUAUCUACCUGCGUACAUGUAAUAUUCUGAUACUAUAUGUAUUUAUACGUAUAUAUAAUAUAUUUAUAUAUAUUUGUGUGUGUAUAUAUAUAUACACACACAAAUAUAUAUGUAAAAUUCAGAAUAGAAAAACAAGGAAGAGCUAUACUUACUACUGUUGACAAUAUUAAUGUACCCUAAAGUGCAGAAUUCCUCAAAUCUUUCUUCCUUUUUCUACAUAGAAAACACUGAACUUUCCACUGGAAAAUGCAGAUCAAUCACUGCUAAAAUGCACCUGAAGC